AUUGAACGCUGGCGGCAUGCCUUACACAUGCAAGUCGAACGGCAGCACGGGUGCUUGCACCUGGUGGCGAGUGGCGAACGGGUGAGUAAUACAUCGGAACGUACCUUAUCGUGGGGGAUAACGCAGCGAAAGCUGUGCUAAUACCGCAUACGCCCUGAGGGGGAAAGCGGGGGAUCGCAAGACCUCGCGCGAUUAGAGCGGCCGAUGCCUGAUUAGCUAGUUGGUGGGGUAAAAGCCCACCAAGGCGACGAUCAGUAGCUGGUCUGAGAGGACGAUCAGCCACACGGGGACUGAGAAACGGCCCAGACUCCUACGGGAGGCAGCAGUGGGGAAUUUUGGACAAGGGUGGCAACCCUGAUCCAGCAAUGCCGCGUGAGUGAAGAAGGCCUUCGGGUUGUAAAGCUCUUUUGUCAGGGAAGAAACACCGGCUCUAACACAGUCCGGGAAUGACGGUACCUGAAGAAUAAGGACCGGCUAACUACGUGCCAGCCGCCGCCGUAA
Molecule: ribosomal RNA, 501 nt
Filed under: uncultured bacterium
Lineage: Bacteria
Description: partial 16S ribosomal RNA
Rfam family: Bacterial small subunit ribosomal RNA
Source: RNAcentral